GCUGCCAAGGAUAUCAGUUUUGGUAGCCACGCACGGUUAGCUAUGCUGCAGGGGGUUAAUGAGCUUGCAGAAGCUGUAAAAGUCACUAUGGGACCAAAGGGACGUAACGUGAUUAUAGAGAAAAGCCCUGGGAAUCCCAAGGUCACAAAGGAUGGUGUCACUGUAGCCAAAAGCAUCAACUUUAAGGAAAAGGCAAAGAAUGUGGGCGCUGAUCUUGUGAAGCAGGUUGCUAAUGCUACUAAUUCAGUUGCUGGAGAUGGUACCACCUGUGCAACUGUGCUUACUCAGGCAAUUUUCACAGAAGGUUGCAAAGCUGUUGCUGCAGGUGUGAGCGUGAUGGAUUUGCGUAAUGGUAUUAACAUGGCCAUUGAUGCUGUUGUUGCUGACUUGAAGAGCAGAGCAGUCAUGAUUAGCACCCCGGAGGAGAUUACACAGGUGGGUACUAUAUCUGCAAAUGGUGAACGUGAAAUUGGGGAAAUAAUUGCUCGAGCCAUGGAAAAAGUUGGGAAGGAAGGAGUUAUUACUGUUGCGGAUGGGAAUACCUUGGAUAAUGAUUUGGAAGUGGUGGAAGGAAUGAAGCUUGGCCGAGGUUAUAUAUCUCCUUAUUUUGUCACGGACGAAAAGACUCAAAAAUGUGAAUUGGAAAAUCCGUUGAUCCUUAUUCAUGACAAGAAAAUCUCAGAUUUGAACUCGCUUGUGCGGAUAUUGGAGCUUGCUCUUAAGAGAAGGAGCCCUCUGUUAAUCGUUGCUGAAGAUGUGGAAAGUGAUGCAUUAGCUAUGCUUAUCCUAAACAAGCAUCGUGCUGGGAUUAAGGUAUGUGCCA
RNAcentral lists this unclassified non-coding RNA (823 nucleotides) under Hevea brasiliensis (rubber tree). Lineage: Eukaryota; Viridiplantae; Streptophyta; Magnoliopsida; Malpighiales; Euphorbiaceae. The record is from RNAcentral.